Molecule: ribosomal RNA, 500 nt
Filed under: uncultured bacterium
Lineage: Bacteria
Description: partial 16S ribosomal RNA
Rfam family: Bacterial small subunit ribosomal RNA
Source: RNAcentral
AUUGAACGCUGGCGGCAUGCCUUACACAUGCAAGUCGAACGGCAGCACGGGAGCAAUCCUGGUGGCGAGUGGCGAACGGGUGAGUAAAGUAUCGGAACGUGCCCAGUCGUGGGGGAUAACGUAGCGAAAGUUACGCUAAUACCGCAUACGAUCUACGGACGAAAGCGGGGGAUCGCAAGACCUCGCGCGAUUGGAGCGGCUGAUGUCAGAUUAGGUAGUUGGUGGGGUAAAGGCUCACCAAGCCGACGAUCUGUAGCUGGUCUGAGAGGACGACCAGCCACACUGGGACUGAGACACGGCCCAGACUCCUACGGGAGGCAGCAGUGGGGAAUUUUGGACAAUGGGCGCAAGCCUGAUCCAGCCAUGCCGCGUGCAGGAUGAAGGCCUUCGGGUUGUAAACUGCUUUUGUACGGAACGAAAAGGUUUGGCCUAAUAAGCUGGACUCAUGACGGUACCGUAAGAAUAAGCACCGGCUAACUACGUGCCAGCCGCCGCAGUAA